AUGAAGAAGGCUGUGCCUAACCAGAUAGUAAAAACAUAUCUUAAUGUUAUUAAAACAGCAGGGGACUGCUACAUAAAGCCAGAUCUAUGGGAAAGGAAGGAAAAUACAGAAUCAUACUUCAGUGUACAGCUCGCACACACGUACUGCAUUAACCCUGUACCAGAUUUUCACAGUGAAGAUUACAGCCGUGGCUUUCACCAAGCUGAAAAACAAGCUUUAACGGGAAGAUCCACACAAGACCCAACUUGAUGAGAAAGGUAAGGUGUUGCUAUGGCAAUUCCACUCGUUGGAACUUUUCUCUGUUGGCUUCAUUCUGACAGUAUAUUCUAAAAAGAAUUAUAUGAAAAGGUGUGGUGGCUGUGAAGACAUACUUGAAGCCAAGAAGACAGAACUCUCUCAUCUUUCUUUCUCCAAAAGAGACCAUGCUGUCAUCUUGGAAUGCCACCGAACGUAGUCAGAGGGCUGGCUGAGGAAGUGUCAUUCUGAGAUUUCAUUGAGCUCUGCGCUGUAUUUCUUUUUGGCUGAAGUGGAAAAUUGGCGAUGCCAGGGUUCUAAGCACAAUUACAACAUGAAGAAGGAUGCUUUGUCUACACCGAAAGACGAUAAGGCCUUGGCUCCUGCAAGAACGACGAUCUGCUUUGUUGUGGUGGGUGGUUGUGUGGCUUUGUUGUACUUUCAGCAGAGGUUUGAGGUAUUAAAAUAUCACUUGAAUCCAGGCAUUCAAAGGGAAUGAAUCCCAGGUCUGAGUGCCUCCGAUGGAGAAGAAGGAUUUAUUAAUUCACUUAAUGCCAUUUCUUUCCAAACAGACCUUCCUCUCGUAGGUUAUAAUCCAUCCAAUUGCUCAUAAAAACAACCUCACUUAGACUCUAAUUGUAGGCAUUGUGUCAAGCAUUUUUUUUCCCUGAUUAAUAUCACAUAAGCUCUUCACAAACAACUCUGUGAGGUAGAUACUAUUAUCAACUGCAUUUUGUACAUGAAUAAGGGGAAUUCAGAGAAAAUAUGGGCUAAGGUUGAUCAUCUGCAAAGGACAAAUAGAAGUUGAACCGAAAAGAUCUUAAUGUGUUAUUAAACGAAACUAACUGUGUCAAAAUUUGAUGGGGGAGAGGAAGCCUAAGAAAUUUACUAAUAAGCAGAAGAAACUGUGUUUUUGCUGUUCCUGUAAAAACAUCCCUUUCCAAGCUACAAAAUACAACCAAUCAGGCAAGACUGAGGAGGUGAUGUAUCAGAGAAUUGUUACCUUAAAAAAGGAUCCAUGUGCAAACUGAAUUCCACAAUAAUCAUCUAUUGAGCUCUGAGCAUAUGCUCUGAGCAUAAAAAGACCUCUAAAACCAGCUCCUACCCCAGAAGAUUUGAUAAAUUAUUGGAAAAACAGAAUUAACAAGUAAAGCAGGGAUUCCUCUAGUUAGAACUGAGCGUUAAGUGCAUGUAGUGAUAAGACAGAGGUUCUAAAUUAGCAGCCUGAUGGCUGAUGUUGGUCUCAGAUACACUUAAUUUGAACCAAAAAAUCUGAGUCUUCCUUUUUUUUUUUUUUUAUUGGCUGCUACGUGGAAGUUUCUGGGACAAGGAUGGAACCCACAUCACAGCUGUAACCAGAGCCGUGGCAGUAACAAUGCCAGAUCCUUAACCCACUGAGCCAUGAGGGAACUCCCGAAUCUUCUUAAACACACACACACACACACACACACACACACACACACAAACGUGUAAGCACAAAGUUCCUAUAUCCCAUUUGGUGACAACUGGCUGAAGCUAACAGAAAGUUUCAGUUUCAUAGUGGUGUGUACUCACUAGUUUUCUGGAUUCCUCACCCCUACUCUUUUCCCCACACUGAAAUUCAAGGACAGUUGUCAAUUCUUAUAAGGCUAGUGUCCUUGCUUUUCUUAUACCUCUUUAUAUAUCUUACUUUCCUGGCCCCUACAGGCUUUCGAGGUUGUCACCAACUUGUAAGGACACCAAAAAGCAUUUGAGCUUCAUAUUAAUGAUAGGCAAGAACAAAAAGCCCAUCCUUCAGGAAGAACAGAGUAUUUCCUACCUUCUCUCUGCUUUCGUGGUAUGCUGUGGAUAGACUCAGACAGUCAAGAGAUAUGGAAUCGGAAUUGAAGUUGGCACUAUUACCGAGAUUUUCAGAGAGAUGAUUUAUUGCAGACCAAUUUUGAUUUCUCUAAACCUGGAGAGGACGUAGGUCAUGCAUUGCAAUGCCCAGGUGUGUGUGCGAUCAACAUUUGCCGACAAGCAGAUGUAAUUUACAGGCAGAGAAGAUGCCAGCUGAGGUGGUGGAGAACUGAGUAGAGGAAAUACAAUGGAGUAGAAGGCUAGCAUGAGGGAGGGAGGGAGAGAGAGGUACGGAAAGAGGGGAGAUUUUAAGAGGUGUGUGGUUAGAGCUCCUCAAACCCUUAUGCUUUACUCGGAUGCUUGGCCCUUUCUAGCGAUGCAUCCAGCAGCUUCUGAUGAAAUGGACCAUGACAUGUUUUUCUUGGCUCUUCCUUUUAUCUCUCCCUGGAAUGGUUCUUUCUCUGCAAACCUUCAAUUCAUCUGAUUCUCUCUUACAUUUCAACUCCUCGUUCAGGAGGCUCAUUUUACCACUAAACUUUCUGUUGCCCUUUAGAAAAGGAAAGAAUUUCUCCCUUUAUGCCACAAAGACCUUGAGUAGGUUUCCUUCAUUAUUAGACUUAUGACAUCGCUUUGAAAGUAUGUGCUCCAUCUUCCCUACAGAGUAUGAAUUCUUGGGAAGGUGCCCAUGUUUUACUUAACUCUGUAUCGCUGUUUCCCAGCUUGGUGUAAUAAAUAUUUGUUAAAUACAUGAAUAAAUACA
This 2812-nucleotide long non-coding RNA is filed under the name Sus scrofa (pig). RNAcentral describes it as "lncRNA (ENSSSCG00070012195.1)". Lineage: Eukaryota; Metazoa; Chordata; Mammalia; Artiodactyla; Suidae. The record is from RNAcentral.